GACGAACGCUGGCGGCGUGCUUAACACAUGCAAGUCGAACGGAAAGGCCCUGCUUUUGUGGUGUGCUCGAGUGGCGAACGGGUGAGUAACACGUGAGUAACCUGCCCUUGACUUUGGGAUAACUUCAGGAAACUGGGGCUAAUACCGGAUAGGAGCUCCUGCUGCAUGGUGGGGGUUGGAAAGUUUCGGCGGUUGGGGAUGGACUCGCGGCUUAUCAGCUUGUUGGUGUGGUAGUGGCUUACCAAGGGUUUGACGGGUAGCCGGCCUGAGAGGGUGACCGGCCACAUUGGGACUGAGAUACGGCCCAGACUCCUACGGGAGGCAGCAGUGGGGAAUAUUGCACAAUGGGCGGAAGCCUGAUGCAGCAACGCCGCGUGCGGGAUGACGGCCUUCGGGUUGUAAACCGCUUUCGCCUGUGACGAAGCGUGAGUGACGGUAAUGGGUAAAGAAGCACCGGCUAACUACGUG
Molecule: ribosomal RNA, 468 nt
Filed under: uncultured bacterium
Lineage: Bacteria
Description: partial 16S ribosomal RNA
Rfam family: Bacterial small subunit ribosomal RNA
Source: RNAcentral